AACGCGAAGAACCUUACCUACCCUUGACAUGUACGGAAGCCCUCAGAGAUGGGGGUGUGCCCGAAAGGGAGCCGUAACGCAGGUGCUGCAUGGCUGUCGUCAGCUCGUGUCGUGAGAUGUUGGGUUAAGUCCCGCAACGAGCGCAACCCUUGUCCCUAGUUGCUACGCAAGGGCACUCUAGGGAGACUGCCGGUGACAAACCGGAGGAAGGUGGGGAUGACGUCAAGUCCUCAUGGCCCUUAUGGGUAGGGCUUCACACGUCAUACAAUGGCCGGUACAGAGGGUUGCCAAAGCGCGAGCUGGAGCCAAUCCCAGAAAGCCGGUCGUAGUCCGGAUUGCAGUCUGCAACUCGACUGCAUGAAGUCGGAAUCGCUAGUAAUCGCGGAUCAGCAUGUCGCGGUGAAUACGUUCCCGGGUCUUGUACACACCG
Molecule: ribosomal RNA, 430 nt
Filed under: uncultured bacterium
Lineage: Bacteria
Description: bacterial SSU rRNA
Rfam family: Bacterial small subunit ribosomal RNA
Source: RNAcentral